Molecule: long non-coding RNA, 211 nt
Filed under: Trifolium pratense (red clover)
Lineage: Eukaryota; Viridiplantae; Streptophyta; Magnoliopsida; Fabales; Fabaceae
Description: long non-coding RNA (TPRA_LNC003419)
Source: RNAcentral
AUUAAGGGAGUAGUUUACACUUCACACGAGGAGGAGUAGUUGUCUGUGUAUUGGAACAUGAAUGGGGUGAAUUUACUAUUAUUAAAAGAUAUAUUGCACAAUUGAAAAUUAAUUACAUUUAUAAGUGACACUUUUCUCAACUACUAAUAAUAAGACAUAUAGGAUGGGUCACUUGACCCAAUUUUAUGAAAUGGGUACUCAAGUUGUCACC